Molecule: ribosomal RNA, 373 nt
Filed under: uncultured organism
Description: bacterial SSU rRNA
Rfam family: Bacterial small subunit ribosomal RNA
Source: RNAcentral
CAGAGGGUGCAAGCGUUGUUCGGAAUUAUUGGGCGUAAAGGGCGCGUAGGCGGUGCGGUAAGUCUUUUGUGAAAUCUCCGGGCUCAACUCGGAGUCUGCAAGGGAAACUGCCGUGCUUGAGUGUGGGAGAGGUGAGUGGAAUUCCCCGGUGUAGCGGUGAAAUGCGUAGAUAUCGGGAGGAACACCUGUGGCGAAAGCGGCUCACUGGACCACAACUGACGCUGAGGCGCGAAAGCUAGGGGAGCAAACAGGAUUAGAUACCCUGGUAGUCCUAGCCCUAAACGAUGAUUGCUUGGUGUAGCAGGUACCCAAUCCUGCUGUGCCGAAGCUAACGCGAUAAGCAAUCCGCCUGGGGAGUACGGUCGCAAGGCUG